UACGUAGGGUGCAAGCGUUAAUCGGAAUUACUGGGCGUAAAGCGUGCGCAGGCGGUUAUUUUAGACCGGUGUUAAAUCCCCGGGCUUAACCUGGGAACUGCAUUUGUGACUGCAUAGCUAGAGUACGGUAGAGGGGGAUGGAAUUCCGCGUGUAGCAGUGAAAUGCGUAGAUAUGCGGAGGAACACCGAUGGCGAAGGCAAUCCCCUGGACCUGUACUGACGCUCAUGCACGAAAGCGUGGGGAGCAAACAGG
Molecule: ribosomal RNA, 253 nt
Filed under: uncultured bacterium
Lineage: Bacteria
Description: partial 16S ribosomal RNA
Rfam family: Bacterial small subunit ribosomal RNA
Source: RNAcentral